Daphnia pulicaria is the source of this 854-nucleotide long non-coding RNA. RefSeq lists it as uncharacterized. The record is from RefSeq and is a predicted model, not a curated record. The transcript has 5 exons. NCBI's taxonomy places the organism in Eukaryota, Metazoa, Arthropoda, Branchiopoda, Diplostraca, Daphniidae.
UUAGCAAACAAAAAUGCGCUUUUCAAGUUUUGUGAGUAUCUUAAGACCAGUCCUUCAAAUACUGAGUUUUUAGGCGUGUCUAAUAGAUGGCGCAUUAAUUGUGUCAGUUAUGGGCUCAUGGCGGUUUGUUGUCAAAAGUUAAGCUAAUUUUUCUUCGAAAAUUACCAAUGUAUUUACUGUCUGAGGAAACGUGAAAGUCGUGCAGCCUACCGUCAACUAUUUUGUUCAAAAUUCAAACUCAUUGUAAUUCUACUGAAUGUGCCAUCGAAAUGAUACAGGAUUCAUCUUAAUUAUUGGCUGUUUCUAUUGGACUUGCUAGAUCACCAGUCCCAGGCUCUCAGCCUUCCCCCGAUUUUGAGUGUUCACUACUUACUGUUUAAUUAUUUCUAGAUCAUAGACGUAAAGCACAUUGAUGACAAAAACUAUAAACAAGAUUUGAUGAGAAGGAGGCAUUCACAUUGUACAGGUUUCUAAAUUAGCAUGACAGACUUGAUGAGAAGUCAUGUUUGAAGAAAAAGGACAAGGACUAUACAGUCAAUAAGGUUCCUUGUUUGCUAACCUGUUGGCUGCUACCCUUGAAUCUCCCUGUUUACUUCUUUACAAGGGUCCUCUUGAUUUGAGGGUAACUCUUUCGCUACUGAUCACAUCCAAUGUUGUAAACUGACGAGAGAAUGCUGCAAUUCAAGACUGAUACAUUGUGUAGUUGUUAGGUCAAUGACAAGUGCAUAUCUGGGCUCCCUUCUUUUCUGUGGUCCCGUUUUCCUAACUAACCACUUACCAACGCCCGCCGGUGGUCACUCACCCGCUGUGAAACCAGGAGGAGGGGAGGGCUCUGGUCGAACUCUGGUCUUGGA